RNAcentral lists this ribosomal RNA (454 nucleotides) under uncultured bacterium. RNAcentral describes it as "SSU rRNA". It matches the Rfam family "Bacterial small subunit ribosomal RNA", at positions 26 to 518 of the family's 1533-position model. The record is from RNAcentral.
AGAACGAACGCUGGCGGCAUGCCUAACACAUGCAAGUCGAACGCUUGUCCGGCUUCGGCCGGGCAGGAGUGGCGCACGGGUGAGUAGCGCGUGGGAACCUGCCCUGUUGUGGGGGAUAACCGAGGGAAACUUCGGCUAAUACCGGAUACGCCCUUACGGGGAAAGAUUUAUUGCCGAAGGAACGGCCCGCGUCCGAUUAGCUUGUUGGUGAGGUAACGGCUCACCAAGGCGACGAUCGGUAGCUGGUCUGAGAGGAUGACCAGCCUCACUGGGACUGAGACACGGCCCAGACUCCUACGGGAGGCAGCAGUGGGGAAUAUUGGACAAUGGGCGCAAGCCUGAUCCAGCCAUGCCGCGUGGGUGAUGAAGGCCCUAGGGUUGUAAAGCCCUUUCGGCGGGGAAGAUAAUGACGGUACCGCAGAAGAAGCCCGGCUAACUUCGCGCCAGCAGCCGC